Molecule: ribosomal RNA, 253 nt
Filed under: uncultured bacterium
Lineage: Bacteria
Description: partial 16S ribosomal RNA
Rfam family: Bacterial small subunit ribosomal RNA
Source: RNAcentral
UACGGAGGAUGCAAGCGUUAUCCGGAAUGCUUGGGCGUAAAGCGUCCGCAGGUGGCUAUGUAAGUCUGCUGUUAAAGAGUGAGGCUCAACCUCAUAAGAGCAGUGGAAACUACAUGGCUAGAGUGCGUUCGGGGCAGAGGGAAUUCCUGGUGUAGCGGUGAAAUGCGUAGAUAUCAGGAAGAACACCGGUGGCGAAAGCGCUCUGCUAGGCCGCAACUGACACUGAGGGACGAAAGCUAGGGGAGCGAAUGGG